This is a non-coding RNA of Gossypium hirsutum (cotton), 108 nucleotides long. The record is from Rfam. NCBI's taxonomy places the organism in Eukaryota, Viridiplantae, Streptophyta, Magnoliopsida, Malvales, Malvaceae.
AUACCAUGAUAAGGACACUUAAAAAGAAAUUCUUUGAAUCUUUCCUAUGUCUCGUAUAAGGACUCGUCAUCCAAUUGUUGGAAAGUAGUUAUCUCAUUUUGUAACUUU